RNAcentral lists this ribosomal RNA (502 nucleotides) under uncultured Actinomycetes bacterium. RNAcentral's name for it is "bacterial SSU rRNA". It matches the Rfam family "Bacterial small subunit ribosomal RNA", at positions 355 to 867 of the family's 1533-position model. Lineage: Bacteria; Bacillati; Actinomycetota; Actinomycetes. The record is from RNAcentral.
UGGGGAAUAUUGGACAAUGGGCGAAAGCCUGAUCCAGCAACGCCGCGUGAGGGAUGACGGCCUUCGGGUUGUAAACCUCUUUCAGCAGGGACGAAGCGCAAGUGACGGUACCUGCAGAAGAAGCACCGGCCAACUACGUGCCAGCAGCCGCGGUAAUACGUAGGGUGCGAGCGUUGUCCGGAAUUAUUGGGCGUAAAGGGCUCGUAGGCGGUUUGUCGCGUCAGGAGUGAAAACUCGGGGCUUAACCCCGAGCCUGCUUCUGAUACGGGCAGACUAGAGGUAUGCAGGGGAGAACGGAAUUCCUGGUGUAGCGGUGAAAUGCGCAGAUAUCAGGAGGAACACCGGUGGCGAAGGCGGUUCUCUGGGCAUUACCUGACGCUGAGGAGCGAAAGUGUGGGGAGCGAACAGGAUUAGAUACCCUGGUAGUCCACACCGUAAACGUUGGGCGCUAGGUGUGGGACUCAUUCCACGAGCUCCGUGCCGCAGCUAACGCAUUAAGCCG